RNAcentral lists this ribosomal RNA (477 nucleotides) under uncultured bacterium. RNAcentral describes it as "partial 16S ribosomal RNA". It matches the Rfam family "Bacterial small subunit ribosomal RNA", at positions 28 to 506 of the family's 1533-position model. The record is from RNAcentral.
GAUGAACGCUGGCGGCGUGCCUAACACAUGCAAGUCGAACGGAGUCCAGCCUUUAAGACCUUCGGGUCAAAGAGGGGAAGACUGAGUGGCGGACGGGUGAGUAACACGUGGGCAACCUGGCUCAUAGAGGGGGAUAACAGAGAGAAAUUUCUGCUAAUACCGCAUAAGCACAUACUGCCGCAUGGCAGAGGGUGAAAAGAGAAUCGCUAUGAGAUGGACCCGCGUCUGAUUAGCCAGUUGGCAGGGUAAGAGCCUACCAAAGCGACGAUCAGUAGCCGAUCUGAGAGGAUGAACGGCCACAUUGGGACUGAGACACGGCCCAAACUCCUACGGGAGGCAGCAGUGGGGGAUAUUGCACAAUGGGGGGAACCCUGAUGCAGCGACGCCGCGUGAGUGAAGAAGUAUUUCGGUAUGUAAAGCUCUAUCAGCAGGGAAGAUAAUGACAGUACCUGAAUAAGAAGCCCCGGCUAACUACGU